Ostrea edulis (European flat oyster) is the source of this 491-nucleotide long non-coding RNA. RefSeq lists it as uncharacterized. The transcript is spliced from 3 exons. NCBI's taxonomy places the organism in Eukaryota, Metazoa, Mollusca, Bivalvia, Ostreida, Ostreidae. The record is from RefSeq and is a predicted model, not a curated record.
UAUAAAAGACGUUACAGGUAGUUUGCGCAAAGGAAAAUUCAACUUAACAAUCAAAGCAGGAGUCCAAGAUUAGGAAGAUGAAGAAUGUCCAGUUCCUCGCCAUUCUCAUUCUCGUUCUUAUUUCCACCCAUGAAGGACUUUGUGCUGGAGGUACUUCAGGAAGUGCAUCAGGAGCUGGUACAGGAGGAAGUUAUUCCGGAGGGAGCUGAUCAGGUUCUGGGAAUGGAACUGCAGGGAUAACUGGAAGUGUGAUAUUGACUUUGUUAUCACUUUGUUUCUACUGUUUCAUGAAAAUAAUAUAGGCUGUAUUAUUUUGAAGCUUUGCCGAUUUCUAUAUCUAUACAUUGUGAAAAACAUACUUGAUACCAUGCAAAUUUUGAAAAGGAGACCCGACUGAAAACCAAACAAAAUGAUACAUGGAUUAUUUUGCGCAAAUACUAUAUAAUGCAAUGAUUUGUGUAAUAAAUAUUUCUUUCUGAAUUAUAACUUUA